This 488-nucleotide ribosomal RNA is filed under the name uncultured Lachnospiraceae bacterium. Its description in RNAcentral is "bacterial SSU rRNA". It matches the Rfam family "Bacterial small subunit ribosomal RNA", at positions 24 to 507 of the family's 1533-position model. Lineage: Bacteria; Bacillati; Bacillota; Clostridia; Lachnospirales; Lachnospiraceae. The record is from RNAcentral.
UCAGGAGUGACGCUGCGGCGUAGCUUAACACAUGCAAGUCGAACGGCUCAUACUUGAACCUAGUGAUGUAUGAGUUAGUGGCGGACGGGUGAGUAACGCGUGGAGAACCUGCCGUAUACUGGGGGAUAACACUUAGAAAUAGGUGCUAAUACCGCAUAAGCGCACAGCUUCGCAUGAAGCAGUGUGAAAAACUCCGGUGGUAUACGAUGGAUCCGCGUCUGAUUAGCUGGUUGGCGGGGUAACAGCCCACCAAGGCGACGAUCAGUAGCCGGCCUGAGAGGGUGAACGGCCACAUUGGGACUGAGACACGGCCCAAACUCCUACGGGAGGCAGCAGUGGGGAAUAUUGCACAAUGGGGGAAACCCUGAUGCAGCGACGCCGCGUGAGUGAAGAAGUAUUUCGGUAUGUAAAGCUCUAUCAGCAGGGAAGAAAUAUGACCUUACGGUCAGCAGACGGUACCUGACUAAGAAGCCCCGGCUAACUACGUG